Molecule: non-coding RNA, 113 nt
Organism: Acanthosepion pharaonis
Lineage: Eukaryota; Metazoa; Mollusca; Cephalopoda; Sepiida; Sepiidae
Source: the annotation of a GenBank genome assembly
UUACGGCCACAUCACGUUGAAUCAUCCGAUACCAGUACGAUCACAGAAGUUAAACAACGUCGAUCCUGGUCAGUAAGUAGAUGGGUGACCGCUUGGGAAUACCAGGGGAUGUA